UCGGGAUAGAUCAGCUGGUAGAGCAGAGAA
This 30-nucleotide transfer RNA is filed under the name Gouania hillebrandii. Its description in RNAcentral is "partial transfer RNA-Phe". Lineage: Eukaryota; Viridiplantae; Streptophyta; Magnoliopsida; Rosales; Rhamnaceae. The record is from RNAcentral.